GUGGUACUGUGUGUGUGUGCGCGCGCCAGCGCGCUAUAGGCAAGUGCUACAGAGUGUGGGAAGACAAAAAACCAUCUACGGGGGCAAGAUUCAACCAGGUACAUAAAGACGAGGCAGGACUUCAACCAAGUGGCCAUGCCCAUCCUUUUGACAUUUUCAGCCAUGCACAUUCUGCAGAUUUUUAUUUAUUUAUUAAAUUUUUAUGACACCCAUCUCACAACAACUGAGCAACUCUCAGAUACCCUUAAUAUCUUCAUUUUUCCUGAUAAUCACUAGCAAAAAACAUCUGUGUGUGUGUGUGUGUUUACCUUUUGGUUUUCUUUGCAAACAAAUCCAGUAUUUAAGUAAUUAUUUUCAUCAUACAUCUCUGGACUGUUCUCUGCAACUUGCUUUUCUUUAUGCAUAGCUUUUGAACUAAUUUACAGGUUUACUUACUUAUCUUUUGAACUAAUUUGCAAAUUUCAGUCCUUAGGAGUUGCACUAAAAAUGGAAAUUGAAUAAUCUUUCAGCCAAUCAAAAUAAAAGAUUGUUUUUACUAACA
Non-coding RNA from Pantherophis guttatus, 541 nucleotides. NCBI's taxonomy places the organism in Eukaryota, Metazoa, Chordata, Lepidosauria, Squamata, Colubridae. The record is from RefSeq and is a predicted model, not a curated record.